AACGUAGCGAAAUGCGAUACUUGGUGUGAAUUGCAGAAUCCCGUGAACCAUCGAGUUUUUGAACGCAAGUUGCGCCCAAAGCCUUCGGGCCGAGGGCACGUCUGCCUGGGUGUCAUGUACCGUUGCCCCAUCCAACUCCCUCU
RNAcentral lists this ribosomal RNA (143 nucleotides) under Passiflora organensis. RNAcentral describes it as "5.8S ribosomal RNA". The stretch from base 1 to 115 matches the Rfam family "5.8S ribosomal RNA", at positions 42 to 154 of the family's 154-position model. From Rfam's summary of the family: 5.8S ribosomal RNA (5.8S rRNA) is a component of the large subunit of the eukaryotic ribosome. Lineage: Eukaryota; Viridiplantae; Streptophyta; Magnoliopsida; Malpighiales; Passifloraceae. The record is from RNAcentral.